AUACUGCUGAGGAGUCCCACACUAGGACGAAACGGUCGUCCAGUGAU
Non-coding RNA from Schistosoma mansoni, 47 nucleotides. Lineage: Eukaryota; Metazoa; Platyhelminthes; Trematoda; Strigeidida; Schistosomatidae. The record is from Rfam.